Molecule: unclassified non-coding RNA, 330 nt
Filed under: Schkuhria pinnata
Lineage: Eukaryota; Viridiplantae; Streptophyta; Magnoliopsida; Asterales; Asteraceae
Description: partial miscellaneous RNA
Source: RNAcentral
UAGGCUUGUAUCGCCUGGAUGGAAUGUGGGUUUCCUGUGCUAACUACCUAAUUUAUGGUAUUGUCUCGAUGAAUUAGUGUCCCUUUUCAUCUUGUGGCAUACACAUGACAUUAGAUGAACCAUAAAAGUGUCUCUUUGAACCACACCAUUGGCUUUGAUGUUGUGGAACAUUGAGUGUUGCUUGGUCUCUCGGAUACGGAACCGUAUGUGGGCAUGGGGUCGAUCAUGAUCCUUUUGAUGCCCUAAUUAAGCGUUUGCGCUUCUCUUGAAAUGACUUGCCGACGUGUAGUGGCUCGUACCAGCAUGGCGGUUUAAGUCAAAGAGGAAUGC